ACCGGCACUGGGCUUCGCCUGUAGCGCAAGACGCCCUGGUUGAAACAAAGCACCAACACAGUCCCAUUGAGCCUUACCCACUCCCACUGAGCCAGCCACCAGGAGAAUAAGCAAGCUACUUUCCCUUUUCCAAAACAUUCCUCACUUAUUUUUCCCAACCACCAACAAAAUUGACCCGAGUCAGCAAUUUGAGGGAGUUUGUUAACCUCACCCACACCCUGGGGAGGGGACAGGGACAGACAAUGACAUUAUUUCAUUCAAAAGGGUGUACUGAGCACGUGGUUCACCUCGAGAAGACACACACUGAACAGUGGCAGCGAGUGGUUGGCUCUGGAACUCUCCUCUCCUGAUGGGUGUCGCUCAAGUGGGGAGGGGAGGUUUGAAAAGUGGCCUUAGCUCCAGGUGGCCCACCAUGAGAUUACUUGGAACCAGAUGCAAGCACCUUAAUCAGAAACACAGUGCCAGGUAUUUCAGCCAAACAGUCUGAGUUCUACAUGAGAAAACUUCGCCUGAGAACCAGAAUUGCAGAAGGUAAUGAGAGAAAGCCAAGACUGAUCCCGUUUGUUGUCGGAUGCCAUUGCGUUGGUUGUGACUGUACAGCAGAACAAAACACCGCCUGGUCCUGGGCCGUCCUCACAAUUGUUCUUACGUUCCUGGAGAGUUCUAUAGUCUGGACAGAAUGGAAUUUAUUCACAUUAAAAUAUGUGUAAAGCCAUCCAA
This is a long non-coding RNA of Echinops telfairi (small Madagascar hedgehog), 720 nucleotides long. RefSeq lists it as uncharacterized. The record is from RefSeq and is a predicted model, not a curated record. The transcript has 2 exons. NCBI's taxonomy places the organism in Eukaryota, Metazoa, Chordata, Mammalia, Afrosoricida, Tenrecidae.